Molecule: long non-coding RNA, 459 nt
Filed under: Ananas comosus (pineapple)
Lineage: Eukaryota; Viridiplantae; Streptophyta; Magnoliopsida; Poales; Bromeliaceae
Description: long non-coding RNA (ACOM_LNC037229)
Source: RNAcentral
GAAAUGAUAGAGUUGGGAGGGAAAUAAGAGAGGGAGAGAGGGUCAUUUGCCCUCUAUACCUGUCACGUCCCGUUAUCGCCAAUUUGGUCGAUCCGGGCCCGCGCACAGACGCCGAACGAACAGCACCUCCUCUGUUCGCCCAAGGCUCAACAACAACGAGUACAUGUAUAAAGAAAUAAAUAAUUCCCAGGAUCACAUUUCAAUAUACAUGGCUUGCACGAAGGCAAGCAACAAACACAAGUGAUAGUAAACUAACUGUACAAUGAAAUUCACUGUAACUUAAAAUUUUACACAACUGAACUUGUAACUGAAACAUUUAGUUAUAUACAUGCUUUUUAUACAUUCAUUUACAUGUCUCUGUACAUCAAAAUGGAUGAUACAUGAACUCAAAAUGGUAAUUGCUAAACUCUGGUGUCAGCUAGCUAAGCUGCAGGGCCCUUGCCACGAUCCUCGGCCUCA